UAAUACGAAGGACCCAAGCGUUAUCCGGAUUUAUUGGGUUUAAAGGGUGCGUAGGUGGAUUUGAAAGUCAGUGGUGAAAUCUCUCGGCUUAACUGAGAAACUGCCAUUGAAACUGCAGAUCUUGAGUACAUUUGAGGUGGGCGGAAUGUGUCAUGUAGCGGUGAAAUGCAUAGAUAUGACACAGAACACCAAUUGCGAAGGCAGCUCACUAAACUGUAACUGACACUGAUGCACGAAAGCGUGGGUAGCAAACAGGAUUAGAUACCCUGGUAGUCCACGCCCUAAACUAUGAUCACUCGCUGUUGGCGAUACACUGCCAGUGGCUUAGCGAAAGCGUUAAGUGAUCCACCUGGGGAGUACGACCGCAAGGUUG
This 373-nucleotide ribosomal RNA is filed under the name uncultured bacterium. RNAcentral's name for it is "bacterial SSU rRNA". It matches the Rfam family "Bacterial small subunit ribosomal RNA", at positions 521 to 896 of the family's 1533-position model. The record is from RNAcentral.